This 504-nucleotide ribosomal RNA is filed under the name uncultured bacterium. RNAcentral's name for it is "bacterial SSU rRNA". It matches the Rfam family "Bacterial small subunit ribosomal RNA", at positions 29 to 526 of the family's 1533-position model. The record is from RNAcentral.
AACGAACGUUAGCGGCGCGCCUAAGACAUGCAAGUCGAGCGAGAAAGGGAUUCGUCCCCGGUAAAGCGGCGCACGGGUGAGUAACACGUAGGUCAUCAACCCUCGAGUGGUGGAUAACCCUCCGAAAGGAGGGCUAAUACAGCAUGAUGCUAGCAAUAGCCAAAGCGGGCCUCUUCAUGAAAGCUCGCGCUAGAGGAUGAGCCUGCGGCCCAUCAGGUAGUUGGCGGAGUAAUAGCCCACCAAGCCAUAGACGGGUAGCUGGUCUGAGAGGAUGAACAGCCACACUGGAACUGAGACACGGUCCAGACUCCUACGGGAGGCAGCAGUCGGGAAUCUUCCGCAAUGGGCGAAAGCCUGACGGAGCGACGCCGCGUGAGUGAUGAAGGCCUUCGGGUUGUAAAGCUCUGUGGGGAGAGAAGAAUAAGUUCAGGCCAAUACCCUGAACGAUGACGGUAUCUCCUUAGCAAGCACCGGCUAACUCUGUGCCAGCAGCCGCCGUAACAC